GCCGAGGAACCUUACCUGGGCUCGAACGUAAGAUGACUGUAGGUGAAAGCUUACAUCUCUUCGGAGCAUUUUACGAGGUGCUGCAUGGUUGUCGUCAGCUCGUGCCGUGAGGUGUCGGGUUAAGUCCCAUAGCGAGCGCAACCCUACCUUUAGUUGCCAUCAGGUAAUGCUGGGGACUCUAAAGGAACUGCCUACGCAAGUAGUGAGGAAGGCGGGGAUGACGUCAAAUCAGCACGGCCCUUACGUCCAGGGCUACACACGUGCUACAAUGGCCGAUACAGAGGGCAGCUACCUGGUGACAGGAUGCAAAUCUCCAAAGUCGGUCUCAGUUCGGAUCGGAGUCUGCAACCCGACUCCGUGAAGUUGGAUUCGCUAGUAAUCGCGCAUCAGCCAUGGCGCGGUGAAUACGUUCCCGGGCCUU
RNAcentral lists this ribosomal RNA (421 nucleotides) under uncultured Sphingobacteriales bacterium. RNAcentral describes it as "bacterial SSU rRNA". It matches the Rfam family "Bacterial small subunit ribosomal RNA", at positions 960 to 1382 of the family's 1533-position model. Lineage: Bacteria; Pseudomonadati; Bacteroidota; Sphingobacteriia; Sphingobacteriales. The record is from RNAcentral.